GAUGAAGAACGUAGCGAAAUGCGAUAAGUAAUGUGAAUUGCAGAAUUCAGUGAAUCAUCGAAUCUUUGAACGCACCUUGCACCCUUUGGCAUUCCGAAGGGUAUGCUCGUUUGAGUGUCAUUGCACUCUCACACUCUCCGAUCCUAUGGAUUCGGGGAGCGGUGGACUUGGGUGUUGCUGCCUUUCCUUGUGGCUCACCUCAAAUGUGUCAGUGCACCUCUUGGUUGGACAUAGUACGGCGUGAUAAGUGUCUUCGCCGGCACCUCGCAAGAGGGUGGCCGAUCGGGAGCUCUGUGCUUUCAAACCGUCUUCGGACAAUUUCUGACAACUUGACCUCAAAUCGAGUAGGACUACCCGCUGAACUUAAGCAUAUCAAUAAGCGGAGGA
This 387-nucleotide unclassified non-coding RNA is filed under the name soil metagenome. RNAcentral's name for it is "partial contains 5.8S ribosomal RNA, internal transcribed spacer 2, and large subunit ribosomal RNA". The stretch from base 1 to 120 matches the Rfam family "5.8S ribosomal RNA", at positions 35 to 154 of the family's 154-position model. The record is from RNAcentral.